AUGGUUAUUUAAAAAUGAAUAAACCCAGAAAAAAAACUAACUCAAUGGCUGCAGUAUUCCUGACUGUAUUAAGGUAGCACAAUCAAUCGCCGUUUAAUUGACGGAUAGUAUGAAUGGUAAAACGAAGAUUUCACUGUCUCAAAUGAAAAUCUAAAAAAAAUUAAAGUAAUAGUUAAGAUGCUAUUUACAAUCGUAAGACGAUAAGACCCUAUAAAGCUUAACUACAUUUUUCUAUUAAAAAUGGGAAGAAGGUAGUUUACUUGGGGCAAGGACUUUUUAAAAAAAAAGAAAGUAAGCAAAAAAAAAUAAAACAUUUAUUGUAUAAAUUAUAAUUUUAACAAUCACGAAGUGGGCUAUAGUGACCCGUUAAUACUAAAAAAAAAGAUUAACGAUUAUUAAAUAAAAGCUACUUUAGGGAUAACAGGAUAAUUUCAUUAAAGAGUUGAUAUCGCUGAUGAAGUUUGUCACCUCGAUGUUGAAUUAAGAUAACCUGGCUGAGCAAAAACCGCCUAAGGUAGGUCUGUUCGACCUUUAAAUAUCUUACAUGAUUUGAGUUCAUUCGUA
This 564-nucleotide ribosomal RNA is filed under the name Plumularia sp. 2 FAU 30-V-93-1-6A. Its description in RNAcentral is "partial 16S ribosomal RNA". It matches the Rfam family "Bacterial large subunit ribosomal RNA", at positions 1886 to 2623 of the family's 2925-position model. Lineage: Eukaryota; Metazoa; Cnidaria; Hydrozoa; Leptothecata; Plumulariidae. The record is from RNAcentral.